Molecule: long non-coding RNA, 4120 nt
Organism: Peromyscus californicus insignis
Lineage: Eukaryota; Metazoa; Chordata; Mammalia; Rodentia; Cricetidae
Exons: 3
Source: RefSeq, a predicted model, not a curated record
GCCUCGGAAACACAAUGUCAUUUAAUAUUCCAGCCCACAGCCCAGACAGUUGCACUUCGGGUCAUUUGGAACAGCGCUCUUGAGACUGCUUUAUUUGACAGUGAUUGGCAACACCCUGCAGUUGGAAAAACAGCCGUCACAUUCCCGGCAAUAGCUCUGCCGCUUUCAGAACCAGACCGCAGACAGGAGCCACAUUCACAGACGGGACUGUGGUGAGCACGGUCCAAUAGAACGCUAAAGCCACACUCUCGAGUCCCUGGAGCUGGUUGGAAAUAACAUAUCCAUUCAUGAAUCCAUGUAUCCACUGAAUCAACCAUCUCCAACCCGGGCUGCUGCAGGAGAGACUGUCCGUGAAGCAGCUGUAGGCUUGAGCACAGCUCUUCCCCCUGCCGCAGCCGGAGCUGUGGAGAAAGGUGGGCCCCAGAGAGUGUCUGGAGAUCUGGAAAGCCCACGGGGAGAUCACCAAUGCCACAGGGCAAGCAAUGAGAGUCAAGGGGAUCACAGAGUGAGUGAAGUUAAGGGGUGUAAACUGGAUUUUUCUGGAUUGAGAAUAAGGAGGACAUACAUGCCCCACCAGAGAAAUGGCCAUGCCAAAUUAUCUGUGUCGUGAGGCUCUUGGAACCUGAAGCCAGAUCUGUAUAUGUCUGCUAGCUCUUGCUGCAUUCAAAAGCCCACCAUAUUCCUGGGAGGAAUCCCAUCGCCUCUUCUGAGUCUUUGGUAUUGAGGGAUGAUGAGUCUUCCUCCCAAGCUUACAUAAGGACGUCCAUUCCCUAGCCACAUGAUUGAUUGACUCAAGGAUGGUCCCAGCUCCCUUGCUUGGACCAAAUGAUUCUCAGGACUUUCUGGGGACUACUGAGAAGAAACAGUGACUCUUUCUGCAGCUGCAUCUAAACUGGCAACAUAUAGCUGAGACUCCUGGGGCCUCCAAUAGAGAAAGCGUAAGUGAAAAUGAAGAUACACAGAGCUGGGGAUGGAAAGAGAUGGGGAUCGGGAUUGAGCAACACACAGAAGUUAAUCGUUUCCUUGAGUCAAGAAUCUCUUUUCAGCUUAAACCAAUUUGAGUCAGAAUUCCUGGCACUUCACCUGAAAUAAUCCCAAUUUCUAAAGACUGUCCAGACAUUGAAAUAUGUAUAUAUACCUCCCAAAUGCAUAUAUGUUUAAGAUAUUUACUAGCAUGUAAAUAUAUAUAAUACAUAUGUGUACAUAUGUGUGUAUAUACACACACAUUUGUGGUUUUUCAGAUAGUAGUGGUUUGUUCUUCUCUCACUAACUAUUCUCCUAAAUGUGUCUUGGACCCUCUUAAGAAUCAGAAAAGGCAGUGACCCACCCCCCAAAACAAACAGAUGCACAAACACAGAAAAGCAGAUAGCAUUUUAGUAGAAUCCCAGGGUCAUCCAUGGACUAGAUUAGGAACUCUCAGGGGCUGGAGAGGUGGCUCAGUGGUUAAAAACACUUGCUUCUCUUUCAGAGGACCUGGGUUCAGUUCCCAGCACCCACAUCAGGUGGCUCACAGCUGUCUAUAUCUCCAGCUCCAGGGGACCCGACACCCUCUGGCCUUCAAGGGUACCUCCAUGAAUGGAGAGCACAUCAAUUUACCCAGGUGCACGCACAGACACAUAAAGAAAAAGAAAUAAUACAAAUUAAAAAAAAAUUUAAAAAGGCCUCUGGUUGUCGAGGUGGGGUGGUUGCUGCAUGGUAGAGCACUUGCUGAGCAUGUGCAAGGCACUGAGUUUGAUGAUGCUUAGUGUCUGCAUAACAGUUUCCUGGAUUACUGCCUCCUAGUUCACAUGACUGCAGGCCAAUAUGUUUAGAAGGAGGCGUUGGUAUCCAGUUGUGUGUGUUCAGUGUGUGGCUCUGCACACUUCCUAUGAAGUCAAACGUAAAGAUGAAACAAGAUGCUCUGGAGAGUGCAUCACACACACCAGAUGCUCAUGCUUUUGUUUUCAAUUCCCUAAUUGUUUCCUUGGGAUAAACACCCGGAGAGAGAAUUUCUGGGUCGAAGUGGAUACACAUUUGUAGGGUGGGUAUUGUCUACUACCAAGUUUUCUUCUAGAAAAGAGAAACCGACAAGAUGGAGGUGGAGCUGCUUGCAGCAUACCUCUGCUCCCUCCCAUCAUCUUAUUCAUUUGAAUCUUUUCCAAUGCUAAGAAAAACGUCCUCAAAUUGCUACAGUUUGAUUUAUUUGGCUAUAAGUGCAUAGGAGUGUUUUCUAUAAGUGCAACUGUUUGUAUUAUUUCUUGUGGUCUUGUGUGUAUGCAUAUCAUCUGCAUUUUUCCCUAUUACACUCUAUUUUUCAGGGCUGGGCAUUGAACCCAGGACCUCGUGCGUGCCAAAUAAGCACUCUGUUGCUGACUACUUCCCGGCACUGUUUGUUCUUAGGAAUAUGUAAACCUGCCUUGUAAAUUACUGACAUUAGCUCUUGACUUUAUACACACGCAAAAUGUGUAAUUAUUUUUGUUUCAUGAUUUGCUUUUGAUUCUUUUAAAAAUAUGGUUUCAUUAUAUCAAAAUUAAAAUUUUUUUUAGAUUGUUACAUCUUCCAAGUGUCCCAUUAGGACCAUUCCCUCUACUUCUUGGUUUAGAAGAUACUCUCUGUUCAAGGUGAGAUAAAUUCUUGCCAAUACCUUCCCUAUAUUUUGUUUCACAUUCGCAUUAACUUCCUGGAAGUUAAGACUAUUCGCAUAGUCUUCCUGGAAUUAUGAUAAGACUCUAAAUGUCUUGCCCCCAAAUAGUACGUUUUCCGAGUUCUGUGUGUAUUUCUCCAUUCCAAGUGUUCUUUCUCCUGGAGUGGACCAGGCCUGCCUUGGUGUCAGUGAAAGGAAACAGCAGUAGUGGCAGAUGUGAAAUGUCCCAAAUCGUUUCAUCGUUGAUAGCCUACCUAAAGGCUGAGCUCUGUCUCCCAGUCCUGGAAGUGUCCCCUCGAGAGUGAGAUGGUCAGAAAGGAGAGGGUAGGUAAGAGCACUGUCCUUUACCCGGGCAGUAGCCACUGCAGCAGAGGUGACAGCAGGUCACAAAGCCCCCACAGGUGGAGGCUGAGCAGGAUCUGGAGCUUCUCCUUUCCGGUCCAGCCCUUUGUGUUUUCGUUCUCGCCCAUUGUACAAAAUGCCUCCCAGAUCCACACACCCCCCCCCCCAAGCCCCAAGAGGAGCUGGUUGGUCUGCCUGUAAUUACUGCUUAUUUGAUUUGUGGGUUUUAAUAUCUUUAACAUGAGGAGGAGGAGGCAUUCUAAAGCAAACAGACUUGGUGCCUAAUCAACUGAGCCCCAGCUGCGCCCUCGGCCAUGUGUUCUCGGCUUAUCUCAUCCCAUGACUUAAGAAUGUAAGCCCGUGUGAGUGACCUUUCUGUCACUAUCACCAAAUACCUGAAAUAACUCAUGAAGAGAAGAGAGAGGGUCAUUUUAGCUCAGGAUUUUGGAGGUUUCAGUCCAUGCUUACUUAGCUGUGUUGCCUUGGGGCCUCUGGUGAGCUGCGCAUCAUGGUGGUAGCAGACAGUUACACUGUUCAUUUUAUGGUCAGAAAUCAAAAAAGAGGGAGCAGGGGCUAGGAUCGAUCUCACAGUUCAUUUUGCAAGCCUUCUCUCAGUGACUUAAAGUGCUUCCGAUAGGCCCCACCCCUUCGUGCUCCCACAACCUCAAUACAAUGCCAGACUGGAACUGAAUCUUUAGUAUGUGGGCUUUGGGGGAACAGUCAAGAUCACAACUGUUGCAGGACUCAGUAUCAGGUUCAGCCACCCGAUCGUGUGAUAAGAUGGCACCAUCUGGAUGUACCCAGCUUUUGAGCGGUACAGCUAACUCAUCACACAUCUGACCCUUUUACCCUCAUCGGUCUUGAAAACUUGAGUAUUUCUCAUCACAGUCGGCUUCCUUCAAAGCUUUACACAAGUAAAUGCACAUUUUCUGAGUUUAGGAUAUUUGAAAAGAAGCGUGAGGACAGAUUGUGUUCCUAAACGUUUGCUGAAGUCCUAUCCUCCUUGAAUCAACAGCUUCAGUACAUGUAUUCAUUUAGCAUUAUUUUUCAUAUUCUCUACCAUUUCCGUGAGACUUGGGGAGGAAUGGGGUGUAAACACCAGGGCUCAGGGCAUCACUGGGCCAUGGAGGUCCCCCCAUCUCUCUGGGAGGGAGA